Molecule: non-coding RNA, 29 nt
Filed under: Rattus norvegicus (Norway rat)
Lineage: Eukaryota; Metazoa; Chordata; Mammalia; Rodentia; Muridae
Source: RNAcentral
UGCUGUCCUUACCUAUGGUUGGUUCUUCU